GCCAGGGGUUUUGGCGGGCACCUGUGGUCCCAGCUACUUGGGAGGCUGAGGCAAGAGACUCACUUAGGCCCAGGAGUUGGAGGUUGCUGUGAGCUGUGAUGCCAUAGCACUCUAUCUAGGGGGACAGCUUGAGGCUGUCUCAAAAAAAAAGAUAAGAGACAGUCUCACUUUGUCGCUCUCGGUAAAGUACUGUGGCAUCACAGCUCACAGCAACCUCCAACUCCUGGGCUUAGGUGAUUCUCUUGC
RNAcentral lists this small RNA (246 nucleotides) under Otolemur garnettii (small-eared galago). RNAcentral's name for it is "Metazoan signal recognition particle RNA (ENSOGAG00000028659.1)". The record is from RNAcentral. Lineage: Eukaryota; Metazoa; Chordata; Mammalia; Primates; Galagidae.